This 367-nucleotide long non-coding RNA is filed under the name Canis lupus dingo (dingo). RNAcentral describes it as "lncRNA (ENSCAFG00020026034.1)". Lineage: Eukaryota; Metazoa; Chordata; Mammalia; Carnivora; Canidae. The record is from RNAcentral.
AUCUGGAAAGGCCAAGAACAAGUUAAGGAUUAAAGUGCCAAAGGGAAAAGCCUGAGUUUUCCAGUGGUACUUAAAAACAACAGGCAUCACCAAAUACUUCUAAAAAGGGAUGACAAGGUGAAGAAUCUCACAGCUUUAGGUCAUCCAGACUUAAGAAUAUACAAAAUGCCUGAUUCUUGAUGGAUAUUUAGAUUUUACUGAUGGAUAACCAUAAGCCUGAACUCUACUACUGGAGAAUCAGUGCCACAUUUCCCUCCACUAAGGACUGCUCAUGGAGUGGUGUGAAUUUGAAGAAAAUGUUGGGAGACAUAUUGGUCAUUGAGAAGAAUUGCCAACAAUGAGAAACGGGACCAUUUUUACCCCUCCA